RNAcentral lists this ribosomal RNA (253 nucleotides) under uncultured bacterium. RNAcentral's name for it is "partial 16S ribosomal RNA". It matches the Rfam family "Bacterial small subunit ribosomal RNA", at positions 524 to 776 of the family's 1533-position model. The record is from RNAcentral.
UACGUAGGGGGCGAGCGUUGUCCGGAGUUACUGGGCGUAAAGGGCGCGCAGGCGGUCUGGCAAGUUUGGAGUGACAGUGCUCGGCUUAACUGAGCAAGGCCUUCGAAAACUGCUAGACUUGAGCACUCAAGAGGGACAUAGAAUUCCGGGUGGAGUGGUGAAAUGCGUAGAUAUCCGGGGGAAUACCAAGGGCGAAGGCAGUGUCCUGGGGAGUGUCUGACGCUCAGGCGCGAAAGCUAGGGGAGCGAACAGG